UGCAAAGGCAGAGUGUAGGGCUAUAACCU
Molecule: non-coding RNA, 29 nt
Filed under: Macaca fascicularis (crab-eating macaque)
Lineage: Eukaryota; Metazoa; Chordata; Mammalia; Primates; Cercopithecidae
Also listed under: 1 other name
Source: RNAcentral